Non-coding RNA from Vicia faba (fava bean), 285 nucleotides. Lineage: Eukaryota; Viridiplantae; Streptophyta; Magnoliopsida; Fabales; Fabaceae. The record is from the annotation of a GenBank genome assembly.
AUGAAGAAAUUAUUUAAAUCUUUUAAAAGCGUCAAGAGUUUUAAAGAUGCAAGAACUCUUGAAAUAAAUAUAACAAAUGGACAACCCAAGCUUGUGGUUAAUAAAAGAAAGAAAGGUGAUUCUAGUAAACCACCUCCACAAAAGUCAAAAAAACAUGACAACAACCUUACACAGAACUCAAAAUUUCUCAAAUCGAAAAACAAACACAAGAAAAAUAAUUCAUCUUUGACACAUUUGUCACCAAGGACACUUUGUUUUUUUCCAUCAUUAUUGACUUGGAGCUGA